UGGGGAAUAUUGCACAAUGGGGGAAACCCUGAUGCAGCGACGCCGCGUGAGCGAAGAAGGCUUUCGAGUCGUAAAGCUCUGUCCGAUGAGAAGAUAAUGACGGUAUCAUAGGAGGAAGCCCUGGCUAAAUACGUGCCAGCAGCCGCGGUAAUACGUAUGGGGCGAGCGUUGUCCGGAAUUAUUGGGCGUAAAGGGUACGUAGGUGGUUUUUUAAGUCAGGUGUCAAAGCGUGGAGCUUAACUCCAUUAAGCACUUGAAACUGAAAGACUUGAGUGAAGGAGAGGAAAGUGGAAUUCCUAGUGUAGCGGUGAAAUGCGUAGAUAUUAGGAGGAAUACCGGUGGCGAGGGCGACUUUCUGGACUUUUACUGACGCUCAGGUACGAAAGCGUGGGGAGCAAAAAGG
Molecule: ribosomal RNA, 403 nt
Filed under: Verrucomicrobiota bacterium
Lineage: Bacteria; Pseudomonadati; Verrucomicrobiota
Description: Verrucomicrobia bacterium partial 16S ribosomal RNA
Rfam family: Bacterial small subunit ribosomal RNA
Source: RNAcentral